CAGCAGCCGCGGUAAUACGGAGGGGGCUAGCGUUGUUCGGAAUUACUGGGCGUAAAGCGCACGUAGGCGGCUUGGUAAGUUAGAGGUGAAAGCCUGGAGCUCAACUCCAGAAUUGCCUUUAAGACUGCCGAGCUAGCAGGUGAGAGAGGUAAGUGGAAUUCCGAGUGUAGAGGUGAAAUUCGUAGAUAUUCGGAAGAACACCAGUGGCGAAGGCGGCUUACUGGCUCAUACUGGACGCUGAGGUGCGAAAGCGUGGGGAGCAAACAGGAUUAGAUACCCGGGUAGUCCCUGUCUCUUAUAC
Molecule: ribosomal RNA, 301 nt
Filed under: uncultured bacterium
Lineage: Bacteria
Description: partial 16S ribosomal RNA
Rfam family: Bacterial small subunit ribosomal RNA
Source: RNAcentral